GCAGACUCACUAGGCACCUGGCUGCAGCCCCAGGUGGGUGCUUGUUCCCUCUGCCAGAGAAACAAACAUUCCUUAUAGGU
This 80-nucleotide small nucleolar RNA is filed under the name Aotus nancymaae (Ma's night monkey). RNAcentral's name for it is "Small nucleolar RNA SNORA77 (ENSANAG00000009421.1)". It matches the Rfam family "Small nucleolar RNA SNORA77". Rfam says of the family: ACA63 (SNORA77) is a member of the H/ACA class of snoRNAs that guide the sites of modification of uridines to pseudouridines. The record is from RNAcentral. Lineage: Eukaryota; Metazoa; Chordata; Mammalia; Primates; Aotidae.